CAAUUUAAUUGUUAGAAUUUGAAUGCCUUAGCGCUCUGUUGGUUCCCACGAGUGCAUAAAUGAUUGACAUAAGUAAAUUUUAUGCAUAAAGAAACUGUUUUAGAAGCUGUUUUUAAUUCCCAGGUGCAGAAAAUCGCGCACUUUACCAGGAGAUAUUCCUAACUAAAUUCUAAUACAUGCACCUUGUCAAUAUUUUACGCAUCAUUACGUCCAGCUGUUUGGUAGGGCAUUCAAAUUUAACAAUAAGUGAUUUCAAUAGUUUUCGUUUUUUUUUGGGACACCCUGUACAGG
RNAcentral lists this long non-coding RNA (291 nucleotides) under Paramuricea clavata. Lineage: Eukaryota; Metazoa; Cnidaria; Anthozoa; Malacalcyonacea; Plexauridae. The record is from RNAcentral.